GACGAACGCUGGCGGCGUGCUUAACACAUGCAAGUCGAACGGAAAGGCCCUGCUUUUGUUGGGUGCUCGAGUGGCGAACGGGUGAGUAACACGUGAGUAACCUGCCCUUUACUUUGGGAUAACUUCAGGAAACUGGGGCUAAUACCGGAUAGGAGCUCCUGCUGCAUGGUGGGGGUUGGAAAGUUUCGGCGGUUGGGGAUGGACUCGCGGCUUAUCAGCUUGUUGGUGGGGUAGUGGCUUACCAAGGCUUUGACGGGUAGCCGGCCUGAGAGGGUGACCGGCCACAUUGGGACUGAGAUACGGCCCAGACUCCUACGGGAGGCAGCAGUGGGGAAUAUUGCACAAUGGGCGGAAGCCUGAUGCAGCAACGCCGCGUGCGGGAUGACGGCCUUCGGGUUGUAAACCGCUUUCGCCUGUGACGAAGCGUGAGUGACGGUAAUGGGUAAAGAAGCACCGGCUAACUACGUG
This 468-nucleotide ribosomal RNA is filed under the name uncultured bacterium. RNAcentral describes it as "partial 16S ribosomal RNA". It matches the Rfam family "Bacterial small subunit ribosomal RNA", at positions 28 to 507 of the family's 1533-position model. The record is from RNAcentral.